CCUUCAAGGACUUGCUUGAUAUUGGGUUCAAGUGGGGGUAAGUCCCAUCCUUAAAUCUACAACAAAUAGGGAACAAAUCCAGCCUCUGGUGACGUACCAUUGAUUUAAAAUUCUCAAAUAGAUAAGUGACUGAAGAUCCCAACCAGGCAUGAACUUCAAAUGGCUCUGCAUCCUGUCUCUUGCCUUCAUUAUGGUAUUCAGCACCCUGGCAGAAGCCCGGUUCUGUCAACCACCUCGGCGUCCACAGCGUCCACAGCGUCCACAGCGUCCACAGCGUCCAUCCCAAGGAAGAUGUAAUGGAAAUGUAACACAGAAACAACAAUGCGGAUGGCAAGGGAUAAGACAAAGAGCAUGCAGAAACAAAGGGUGCUGUUUUAUCAAUAACAAAUGUUUCUAUCCAAGAUGAUUGAAAUGAAUUGAAAUUCAGGACUGAACUCACGCUGGCACUGGAAUCCAUGGAAGAGAAAAGAUUAUGGCAUUGCAGUUUAUUAUUUCCUGCUCUCUAAUUCCCAUCCUGCGAUUUCUUGCUUUUAUUUGUGUGCGAUAUGAAAGAAAUUAGGUUUAAUCUUCAUUUAAUUAGAUUUUUUUUCAUGUCAGGAGUGACUUGAGGACCUGCAAGUCACUUCUGGCGUGAGAGAAUUGGCUGUCUGCAAGUUCAUUGCCCAGAGGAUGCCUGGAUGUUUUACCAUCCAUGUGGGAGGCUUCUCUCAUAUCACCACAUGGGGAGCUGGAGCUGACAUAGGGCGCUCAUCUGCUCUCUCCCCAGAUUUGAACCUCCGACAUGUAGGUCUUCAGUCCUGCCAGCACAGGGGUUUAACCCAGUGCACCGUCGGGGGCGCCUAACUGCACUGAAAACAUACUUAUUUUAACACACUUACUGGUGGUUUGUGGAAAAAUAGCAGAGAAAGUGCUGCAACUCAUCAUUUUGGGACUGGCCGUCCUCUUGCUGUAUUCACAAGUUGAAAAUUCUCACAGCCUAAUUUCCCUGACACUCGUCUACCCUAAAUCUUGAUAUUUUGUCAGGUAACCUCAGCUUCACAAAUAUUGUAUUAAUCUGUGCUACUGCUCUUUAGAACACAAAAUGUUUCACAAGUCCCUCUCCUUGGCUGUAUUAUCUUUCUGAAAGCUCGUUUUGCAUUAAAAAAGCAUUCCUAAA
Molecule: non-coding RNA, 1156 nt
Organism: Anolis sagrei ordinatus
Lineage: Eukaryota; Metazoa; Chordata; Lepidosauria; Squamata; Anolidae
Source: RefSeq, a predicted model, not a curated record